RNAcentral lists this ribosomal RNA (254 nucleotides) under uncultured bacterium. RNAcentral describes it as "partial 16S ribosomal RNA". It matches the Rfam family "Bacterial small subunit ribosomal RNA", at positions 524 to 776 of the family's 1533-position model. The record is from RNAcentral.
UACGUAGGGGGCGAGCGUUGUCCGGAUUUAUUGGGCGUAAAGAGCUCGUAGGCGGUUUGGUAAGUCGGAUGUGAAAUCUCCAGGCUCAACCUGGAGGGGUCAUUCGAGACUGCUAUGACUAGAGUUCGGUAGAGGAGUGUGGAAUUCCUGGUGGAGCGGUGAAAUGCGCAGAUAUCAGGAGGAACACCGAUGGCGAAGGCAGGUCUCUGGGCCAUAACUGACGCUGAGAAGCGAAAGCAUGGGGAGCGAACAGG